GUUGGUCCCGCACAUUUGACUUGAGUUAAAAUAGGGCUUUGCCCGUGAACCACAUCAGGUGGACUAGGCCGCCAGAGCGGAAAUGCUUUGGCGGCUUGUCCACGAAUUGUAAUCAAAAAUAUGGGCGGGGGUGAAUCCUUUGCAGACGACUUGAAUGGGAACGGGGUACUGUAAGCGGUAGAGUAGCCUUGUUGCUACGAUCCGCUGAGGUUAAGCCCUUGUUCUAAAGAUUUGU
This 235-nucleotide ribosomal RNA is filed under the name Lyophyllum shimeji. Its description in RNAcentral is "partial 28S ribosomal RNA". It matches the Rfam family "Eukaryotic large subunit ribosomal RNA", at positions 3162 to 3401 of the family's 3401-position model. The record is from RNAcentral. Lineage: Eukaryota; Fungi; Basidiomycota; Agaricomycetes; Agaricales; Lyophyllaceae.